AAUAUUGGACAAAGGGGGAAACCCUGAUCCAGCCCUCCCGCGUGUAUGAUGAAGGCCUUCGGGUUGUAAAGUACUUUUGGCAGAUAAGACAAGGUAUCUCCUAAUACGAGAUACUGCUGACGGUAUCUGCAGAUUAAGCACCGGCUACCUACGUCCCAGCAGCCGCGUUACUACGUAGGGUGCAAGCGUUAAUCGGAAUUACUAGGCGUAAAGCGUGUGUAGGCGGUUCGGAAAGAAAGAUGUGAAAUCCCAGGGCUCAACCUUGGAACUGCAUUUUUAACUGCCGAGCUAGAGUAUGUCAGAGGGGGGUAGAAUUCCACGUGUAGCAGUGAAAUGCGUAGAUAUGUGGAGGAAUACCGAUGGCGAAGGCAGCCCCCUGGGAUAAUACUGACGCUCAGACACGAAAGCGUGGGGAGCAAACA
This 422-nucleotide ribosomal RNA is filed under the name uncultured bacterium. RNAcentral describes it as "partial 16S ribosomal RNA". It matches the Rfam family "Bacterial small subunit ribosomal RNA", at positions 360 to 774 of the family's 1533-position model. The record is from RNAcentral.